RNAcentral lists this ribosomal RNA (512 nucleotides) under uncultured bacterium. Its description in RNAcentral is "partial 16S ribosomal RNA". It matches the Rfam family "Bacterial small subunit ribosomal RNA", at positions 28 to 523 of the family's 1533-position model. The record is from RNAcentral.
GACGAACGCUGGCGGCGUGCCUAAUACAUGCAAGUCGAGCGGAACUGGGGGAGCUUGCUCCUUCCAGUUUAGCGGCGGACGGGUGAGUAACACGUGGGCAACCUGCCCUGCAGAUCGGGAUAACUCCGGGAAACCGGUGCUAAUACCGAAUAGUUUGGCGCCUCUCCUGAGGCGCUACGGAAAGACGGUUUCGGCUGUCACUGCAGGAUGGGCCCGCGGCGCAUUAGCUAGUUGGGGGGGUAACGGCCCACCAAGGCGACGAUGCGUAGCCGACCUGAGAGGGUGACCGGCCACACGGGGACUGAGACACGGCCCAGACUCCUACGGGAGGCAGCAGUAGGGAAUCUUCCGCAAUGGACGCAAGUCUGACGGAGCAACGCCGCGUGAGUGACGAAGGUUUUCGGAUCGUAAAACUCUGUUGUGAGGGAAGAACACGUACCAACUAACUAUUGGUACCUUGACGGUACCUCGCCAGAAAGCCACGGCUAACUACGUGCCAGCAGCCGCCGUAA